AUGUGCUCCGAUUGUAGACCUAUCAAUGCUAUCACCAUUCGCUAUAGGUAUCCCAUUCCACGCCUUGAUGAUAUGCUUGAUGAACUUAGUGGUGCCACUAUAUUUUCAAAAAUUGAACUUAAGAGUGGUUACUAUCAAAUCUGGAUACAAGAGGGUGAUGAAUGGAAAACCGCUUUCAAAACCAAGUUUGGCUUGUAUGAGUGGUUAGUCAUGCCUAUGGGUCUUUUGGAAGCACCGGGUACUUUUAUGCGCCUUAUGAAUCAUGUCUUUCGCCCUUACAUCAGUAUAUUUGUUGUGGUCUACUUUGAUGAUAUCCUUGUUUAUAGCAAAUCUCUUAGAGAUCAUGUCACCCAUGUUCGAACCGUUUUGCAAACUCUUCGAAAAGAGCACCUCUAUGCUAAUAUGGAGAAAUGCCUUUUUGGCGUUGACAAGCUUGUUUUCUUGGGUUUUGUUGUUUCUACUAAGAGUGUUCAUGUUGAUGAGUCCAAAAUCAAGGCUAUUAAGACUUGGCCACAACCAACCAAUUUGCAUCAAGUGCGCAGCUUUCUUGGCCUUACGGGUUUCUAUCAUAGCUUUGUGAAGAAUUUUAGCACCAUUGCUUCUCCUUUGCAUGCUUUGAGCAAGAAGAAUGCGUCUUUUGUUUGGGGACCAUCCCAAGAUACCGCUUUCAAUGAGCUUAAGAAUUUGCUUACUCAUGCUCCCGUGCUUGCAUUACCCAACUUUGACAAACCCUUUGAGAUUCAUUGUGAUACUAAUUGUAAUGACAUAGGAGGUGUGUUAACGCAAGAAAAGCGCCCCAUAGCUUAA
RNAcentral lists this ribosomal RNA (807 nucleotides) under Triticum aestivum (bread wheat). Its description in RNAcentral is "partial small subunit ribosomal RNA". The record is from RNAcentral. Lineage: Eukaryota; Viridiplantae; Streptophyta; Magnoliopsida; Poales; Poaceae.